GUCACACGGUGCAGCUUUUCUUUUACGUUUUGUCCUCGUUCUCUCAGAUCGGAUUCCAGAAUCCCGUUAUUUCCCCCCGUCGGAUGGCAGCUGAACCAAACGCAGAGCAGCACCUGGAGACUGUUUAUCUUCGUCCCGUUCCACAGAAGUCAGAAGUGAUGGAGUCGUCCACAGUGGAGGAUGAAUCAGGAAACCAAAGCGAUGAAGAAAAUCACAGAACCAAGAACCACCUGAGAGGAAAAAAGGACUUACCAGUCGUACCAGAAUCAAACUCUCCGUAAUGAUCUAAUGACGGUACUGGUGCACCAGUAAAACCCCAGAGAAACCCCAGAGAAACCAGUCACCUGCUACUGUGGAGAACACAACCCAAAUUCUCUUUAUACAUGGUCUUCAAAUAAACCGGUCAGUGUCGAGUCCAGGCACAGCGAGACCUACAGUAAAGUCCUUGUGGGUCAGCGGGUCAUGACGUCCUCGUACCGUCUGAAUUUACUUAAAUGUGUUUAUUGUAAUGCACGUCUCCCUCAGUGAUAAAUAAAUAAAUAAAUAACAUUUCACCACA
This is a long non-coding RNA of Trichomycterus rosablanca, 559 nucleotides long. RefSeq lists it as uncharacterized. The record is from RefSeq and is a predicted model, not a curated record. NCBI's taxonomy places the organism in Eukaryota, Metazoa, Chordata, Actinopteri, Siluriformes, Trichomycteridae. The transcript has 2 exons.